This 73-nucleotide transfer RNA is filed under the name Firmicutes bacterium ADurb.Bin506. RNAcentral's name for it is "tRNA-Lys". The record is from RNAcentral. Lineage: Bacteria; Bacillati; Bacillota.
GGAUCUCGCAGGCGAGCGGCAGCCUAUCCGGCUUUUACCCGGGGAGUCUCGGUUCGAGCCCGAGGAGAUCUAC